UACGUAUGUCUCGAGCGUUACCCGGAAUCACUGGGUGUAAAGGGUUCGUAGGCUGAUAAGCAAGUUGAAAAUGAAAGACCGGAGCUCAACUCCGUGUUUGUAUUCAAAACUACUUAACUAGAAUUUGGGAGAGGUAAGCGGAAUUCUGAGUGUAGGGGUGCAAUCCGUAGAUACUCAGAGGAACACCAAAAGCGAAGGCAGCUUACUGGAACAAUAUUGACGCUGAUGAACGAAAGCGUGGGUAGCGAAAAGG
This 253-nucleotide ribosomal RNA is filed under the name uncultured bacterium. RNAcentral describes it as "partial 16S ribosomal RNA". It matches the Rfam family "Bacterial small subunit ribosomal RNA", at positions 524 to 776 of the family's 1533-position model. The record is from RNAcentral.